RNAcentral lists this ribosomal RNA (460 nucleotides) under uncultured bacterium. RNAcentral describes it as "partial 16S ribosomal RNA". It matches the Rfam family "Bacterial small subunit ribosomal RNA", at positions 32 to 505 of the family's 1533-position model. The record is from RNAcentral.
AACCAACGCUGGCGGCGUGCCUAAUACAUGCAAGUCGAACGGGGAAAGCUUUCGGGUGAGUACUAGUGGCGCACGGGUGAGGAACGCGUGGAUAAUCUGCCUUAGAGUGGGGGAUAACUAGCCGAAAGAUUAGCUAAUACCGCAUAAGACCACGAGAGCUGCGGCUUUUGAGGUCAAAGGUUUUUCGCUCUAAGAUGAGUCCGCGUAAGAUUAGCUAGUUGGUGAGGUAACGGCUCACCAAGGCGACGAUCUUUAACUGGUCUGAGAGGAUGAUCAGUCAAACUGGAACUGAGACACGGUCCAGACUCCUACGGGAGGCAGCAGUAGGGAAUAUUGCACAAUGGAGGAAACUCUGAUGCAGCGACGCCGCGUGAGAGAUGAAGGCCUUCGGGUCGUAAAGCUCUGUCGCAGGGGAAUAACACAAUGAAGGUACCCUGUAAGAAAGGAUCGGCUAACUUCG